This 269-nucleotide ribosomal RNA is filed under the name Boophis picturatus. Its description in RNAcentral is "partial 16S ribosomal RNA". It matches the Rfam family "Bacterial large subunit ribosomal RNA", at positions 2073 to 2508 of the family's 2925-position model. Lineage: Eukaryota; Metazoa; Chordata; Amphibia; Anura; Mantellidae. The record is from RNAcentral.
CUAUAAGACGAGAAGACCCCAUGGAGCUUUAAAUCCAACAGCACCUAUUACCCAUACAUCUUUAUAUUUUUUUAGCAAAUGCUCGUUCGGUUUUAGGUUGGGGUGACCAUGGAGUAAAAAAUAACCUCCACGAAAAAAGGCAUAAAACCCUUAUCAAAGAGCCACAUCUCUAUGAAUUAGUAAACUAAUUUCUGAUGAUCCGAUAUUCGAUCAACGAACCAAGUUACCCUGGGGAUAACAGCGCAAUCCGCCUUAAGAGCCCCUAUCGA